This 451-nucleotide ribosomal RNA is filed under the name uncultured bacterium. RNAcentral describes it as "bacterial SSU rRNA". It matches the Rfam family "Bacterial small subunit ribosomal RNA", at positions 340 to 786 of the family's 1533-position model. The record is from RNAcentral.
UACGGGAGGCAGCAGUGGGGAAUAUUGCACAAUGGGCGCAAGCCUGAUGCAGCCAUGCCGCGUGUAUGAAAAAGGCCUUCGGGUUGUAAAGUACUUUCAGUCGUGAGGAAGGUGUUAAGGUUAUAACCUUAGCAAUUGACGUUAGCGACAGAAGAAGCACCGGCUAACUCCGUGCCAGCAGCCGCGGUAAUACGGAGGGUGCGAGCGUUAAUCGGAAUUACUGGGCGUAAAGGGCACGCAGGCGGUUAAUUAAGUUGGAUGUGAAUCCCCGGGCUUAACCUGGGAAUGGCAUUCAAGCUGGUUAGCUAGAGUCUUGUAGAGGGGGUAGAAUUCCAUGUGUAGCGGUGAAAUGCGUAGAGAUGUGGAGGAAUACCGGUGGCGAAGGCGGCCCCUGGGACAAAGACUGACGCUCAUGUGCGAAAGCGUGGGGAGCAAACAGGGAUUAGAUACC